UGAAAGGGAAGUCGCUCAGUUGUGUCCGACUCUUCGUGACCCCAUGGACUGCAGCCCACCAUGCUCCUCCAUCCAUGGGAUUUUCCAAGCAAGAGUACUGGAGUGGGGUGCCAUCGCCUUCUCCGUGUCCCAGCCUAGGCCAAGGCUAUUAGAGUUUUCUCUUGACUCUAUCCAUCUCUAAAAAAAAAAUGAUCCUUUCUGACAAUCCUUCAGCUUCAGUCCCUGGAGAAGACUUGAGUCCAGUAGGCGUUUUUUCUCUGUGUUCUUAUCUACUCAAUUCUGAUUGUUCUCCAGGUCAGCUGGUGAAAUGUCUGUGCUUCACUGAUGAUUGUUUCUGCUCUCCCAGACCUAACAGCUUGGACUUUCCAGAAAAAUGGAGAUUUUUUUUUCCUUGAAUUCCCUCCUUCAUCCCCACUCAAUAUUGAAGCAUAUUCAUUCCUCUGCGUAUGGUAAUUAACACACUCAUCUUGGUGCACACACCCUUUUGUAUAUGGACUCUUCAAAGUGCAGUAAAGAAAAAUAAGUCAAUAACAAGUUUUAUCACCCUUGAGGUAAUUCUUAUGUGGGCACAUGUGAGAUUUUUUUUUCCUAAGCAAAAUUAUUGUAACACAAUUUAAAAUUAUAAAAUGGCUAUAACUUACAAUGCUUGUUUUAUGUCCUGCUUUGCACACAGAGUAUUAAUAAUGCCAACAAACUUGAUUUGCUUUAUAUGGCAAACCUAUACCGACUUGAUGACUCAGCAUUCAUCACUUGAGGGACUUCCCUGGUGCUCCAGUGUUUAAGAAUCCGCCUUCCACAGCAGGGGACCUGGGUUCAAUCCCUGGUCAGGGAAUGGAGGUCCCAAAUGCCACAGGGCAACCAAGCCCGUGUGGCACAACUAUUGAUCCUGUGCUCUUGAGCCUAUGUUCUGCAAUAAGAGAAAACCACACGCCCCAACAAAGAGCCCACAUGUGGCAAUGAAGACCCAGCGCAGCCAAAAUAAAAAAAAAAUAAAUCACCA
Molecule: long non-coding RNA, 1000 nt
Organism: Bubalus bubalis (water buffalo)
Lineage: Eukaryota; Metazoa; Chordata; Mammalia; Artiodactyla; Bovidae
Exons: 2
Source: RefSeq, a predicted model, not a curated record